This 301-nucleotide ribosomal RNA is filed under the name uncultured bacterium. RNAcentral's name for it is "partial 16S ribosomal RNA". It matches the Rfam family "Bacterial small subunit ribosomal RNA", at positions 509 to 808 of the family's 1533-position model. The record is from RNAcentral.
CAGUCGCCACGGGAAUACGAAGGGUGCAAGCGUUACUCGGAAUUACUGGGCGUAAAGCGUGCGUAGGUGGUGGUUUAAGUCCGUUGUGAAAGCCCUGGGCUCAACCUGGGAAUUGCAGUGGAUACUGGGUCACUAGAGUGUGGUAGAGGAUAGUGGAAUUUCCGGUGUAGCAGUGAAAUGCGUAGAGAUCGGAAGGAACAUCUGUGGCGAAGGCGACUAUCUGGGCCAACACUGACACUGAGGCACGAAAGCGUGGGGAGCAAACAGGAUUAGAACCCGCGUAGUCCCUGUCUCUUAUACA